CCUACGGGCGGCUGCAGUGAGGAAUAUUGGUCAAUGGACGAGAGUCUGAACCAGCCAAGCCGCGUGAAGGAUGACUGUCCUAAGGGUUGUAAACUUCUUUUAUAUGGGAAUAAAAUGUUCCACGUGAGCGUUUUUGUAUGUACCUUAUGAAUAAGGAUCGGCUAACUCCGUGCCAGCAGCCGCGGUAAUACGGAGGAUCCGAGCGUUAUCCGGAUUUAUUGGGUUUAAAGGGUGCGUAGGUGGAUUGUUAAGUCAGUUGUGAAAGUUUGCGGCUCAACCGUAAAAUUGCAGUUGAAACUGGCAGUCUUGAGUACAGUAGAGGUAGGCGGAAUUCGUGGUGUAGCGGUGAAAUGCUUAGAUAUCACGAAGAACUCCGAUUGCGAAGGCAGUUCACUGGACUGCAACUGACACUGAGGCUCGAAAGUGUGGGUAUCAAACAGGAUUAGAUACCCGAGUAGUC
Molecule: ribosomal RNA, 460 nt
Filed under: uncultured bacterium
Lineage: Bacteria
Description: partial 16S ribosomal RNA
Rfam family: Bacterial small subunit ribosomal RNA
Source: RNAcentral